GGCGGUUGAAAUGGCGUAAAAUGGGCAACUGCUGGCAAAUACUGGCAAUCUAUGUCAAUGAUAAAUAACACAAACCAUUGAUUUUUGGUUGUUCUUGUAGGAACUCAUAAUCGCUUGGUCGCUGGUUCAAGUCCAGCAGGGGCCACCA
Molecule: transfer RNA, 148 nt
Filed under: Citrobacter freundii
Lineage: Bacteria; Pseudomonadati; Pseudomonadota; Gammaproteobacteria; Enterobacterales; Enterobacteriaceae
Description: tRNA-OTHER
Source: RNAcentral